AACGUUUCGAAGGACGCUAAUACCGCAUACGUCCUACGGGAGAAAGCAGGGGACCUUCGGGCCUUGCGCUAUCAGAUGAGCCUAGGUCGGAUUAGCUAGUUGGUGAGGUAAUGGCUCACCAAGGCGACGAUCCGUAACUGGUCUGAGAGGAUGAUCAGUCACACUGGAACUGAGACACGGUCCAGACUCCUACGGGAGGCAGCAGUGGGGAAUAUUGGACAAUGGGCGAAAGCCUGAUCCAGCCAUGCCGCGUGUGUGAAGAAGGUCUUCGGAUUGUAAAGCACUUUAAGUUGGGAGGAAGGGCAGUAAAUUAAUACUUUGCUGUUUUGACGUUACCGACAGAAUAAGCACCGGCUAACUCUGUGCCAGCAGCCGCGGUAAUACAGAGGGUGCAAGCGUUAAUCGGAAUUACUGGGCGUAAAGCGCGCGUAGGUGGUUCGUUAAGUUGGAUGUGAAAUCCCCGGGCUCAACCUGGGAACUGCAUCCAAAACUGGCGAGCUAGAGUAUGGUAGAGGGUGUUGAAAUUUCCUGUGUAGCGGUGAAAUGCGUAGAUAUAGGAAGAACCCCCGUGAA
Molecule: ribosomal RNA, 573 nt
Filed under: Pseudomonas moraviensis
Lineage: Bacteria; Pseudomonadati; Pseudomonadota; Gammaproteobacteria; Pseudomonadales; Pseudomonadaceae
Description: bacterial SSU rRNA
Rfam family: Bacterial small subunit ribosomal RNA
Source: RNAcentral